UAACCAGAUCAGAAUCAUGCGGAUAGGUGA
This 30-nucleotide small RNA is filed under the name Bombyx mori (domestic silkworm). RNAcentral's name for it is "ovarian small RNA-18703". The record is from RNAcentral. Lineage: Eukaryota; Metazoa; Arthropoda; Insecta; Lepidoptera; Bombycidae.